GCAGUUUGCAUUGUGUUGAGUGCAUUGAGUGUUCGUGAUCUGUGUAGCUUGAUUUUUAUUUACAACAGAAAUGUCCUUCAGAUUGUGGGAGGAAGCGAUGCGGACAAGUUGUCAAGAAGGUGUUUAUCUAAAAUAUUUAAUGAUGAUUUGGCAGCACAAUGCUCAUGGACAGGGUUAAAAGGAAAUUUUAAAAUUCAGGGAUUGAUAACCAUUGAAGAAAUAAGGAGUACUGUGAGAAGAGUAUUCCCUGCUACUUCUGACUUUGAAUUUGAACGAAUAGUAAAGGAUUUUUUUCCGCUACGGGGAGCAGAGGAAAAAAAGAAAAUCCAUAAACCAUGUAUAUAUAAACCAUAGUUGUCACUAAUUUUUUGUUUUCGGGUUGGUUUUAAAAAUACAGAAUAUAGGAAAUGAUUUAAGUGUCAAAAUAUUAUAGCAAGGAUUAUCACUAAAUUGUAUUCACUUUAAAAAGAUAUUUUUUAUAAAUUUAGUUAUCAACAAUAAGCUAUUGAGAAACAUUUAUUUCAAAAUACUGGGUUUUCCAUGUCAUCUAACUAAUAAGAAUUAACGUGAGGUUAUUACAUUUCAUAAUUUUUAAUUGAAAUGCCCAAAACACACUAUGAGAAAUAUUGCUAACGGAACCAAUAGAACUGAGUGCCUAAUACUUGUGAGAACCAAAAUACUGCAGCAAAACACAUUGUAAUUAAAAUAUCAGUAAAAAUUUGUCUCAGAUAGAUGAGUAGACAGUUUAUAUAGUUGUCUCAAACGCGCAACAAGCGGGUAUGUGUAAUGGCUUCUCAAGCUGAUGAAGUACAAAGUUUGACUAGUUUGACCGUCACACGAGCUUUUUAUAAUAAUGUGGUGUGUUGGCAACAAAGCAGGAAACGUAGCUGCGUCAGCGGAAGCGGUCACGUGGUACCGGCGAUGAAGGACAGCCUUCGUCCUUACGCGUGAAGUUGGUCGUUGCCUCGCCUGGGAUUAAGCCGGACCAUUUCCGUGUCUGCGGUUAAUGUUAAUGUGUUAUAUGAACUUUGUA
Anoplophora glabripennis (Asian longhorned beetle) is the source of this 1033-nucleotide long non-coding RNA. RefSeq lists it as uncharacterized. The transcript is spliced from 3 exons. The record is from RefSeq and is a predicted model, not a curated record. Lineage: Eukaryota; Metazoa; Arthropoda; Insecta; Coleoptera; Cerambycidae.